UAAAUCCGUCUUAAAUUUAUAUCAGACGAAUAAAUCAAGACGGGUUUCUGCUCGUAACGUUCAAAAGAGACUGGGAUGGAGGGUCUCCUAUUUUUUCGGGUUUAUCCGUCCGAUGGUUUUCGUUUCAUACUUAUACCAGACGGAAAUCCGUCACACGAGUUUCCCGUCUUAGACGGAAAUCCGUCUUCUAAUAUGAAUUCAGCUAUUA
Non-coding RNA from Paramuricea clavata, 208 nucleotides. The record is from the annotation of a GenBank genome assembly. NCBI's taxonomy places the organism in Eukaryota, Metazoa, Cnidaria, Anthozoa, Malacalcyonacea, Plexauridae.